AUUGAACGCUGGCGGCAUGCCUUACACAUGCAAGUCGAACGGUAACGGGCCUUCGGGUUCCGACGAGUGGCGAACGGGUGAGUAAUACAUCGGAACGUGCCCGAUCGUGGGGGAUAACGAGGCGAAAGCUUUGCUAAUACCGCAUACGAUCUACUGAUGAAAGCAGGGGACCGCAAGGCCUUGCGCGGACGGAGCGGCCGAUGUCAGAUUAGGUAGUUGGUGGGAUAAAAGCUUACCAAGCCGACGAUCUGUAGCUGGUCUGAGAGGAUGAUCAGCGACACUGGGACUGAGACACGGCCCAGACUCCUACGGGAGGCAGCAGUGGGGAAUUUUGGACAAUGGGCGCAAGCCUGAUCCAGCCAUGCCGCGUGCAGGAUGAAGGCCUUCGGGUUGUAAACUGCUUUUGUACGGAACGAAAAGCAUUCUUUUAAUACAGGAGGGUCAUGACGGUACCGUAAGAAUAAGCACCGGCUAACUACGUG
RNAcentral lists this ribosomal RNA (482 nucleotides) under uncultured bacterium. RNAcentral describes it as "partial 16S ribosomal RNA". It matches the Rfam family "Bacterial small subunit ribosomal RNA", at positions 30 to 507 of the family's 1533-position model. The record is from RNAcentral.